This 795-nucleotide long non-coding RNA is filed under the name Exaiptasia diaphana. RNAcentral describes it as "uncharacterized LOC110237695". Lineage: Eukaryota; Metazoa; Cnidaria; Anthozoa; Actiniaria; Aiptasiidae. The record is from RNAcentral.
CUUAAGCUGUUCAAUUUGUGCUCGUAAAGAGAGGAAUCUCUGCCUUAUAAGAAUACUCAAGUAUAACUGAAGCAAAACAGAACAAACAAUGGCGGCCAUAGUUGUUAGUCUCCUUAUCUGCCUCGCUCUCGUGUUCACCACAGGACACCCACUCAAAGAAACACCAGAGAAUCAUCANAUCAGCGCGAGAACAUUUCGUCGGGGUAAAACCGUUGGCACAGUGACAAACGAAAACCCUUGCUUUAACGGCUGCGCCGGGGAUGCUUUUCAUUGCAUGUUUCUGUGUACAGACGCUGGAUUUCUUUACACUAACUGCAAACGACAAUGCACAGGAGGAUCAUUCGUAACUUGCUUGAAUUCCUGUCUCAUGUAACGUCCAUGCCGGUCUGUUUCCAUUGAUUCUUCCAAGCCCUCCACAGCUCUUUGCUACGUUUAAACAUUGUCAUUUGGUAUAUCAUUCCUACUUGAACGGCUAGGUUGGAAUGGGACGAGCUUGCGAUCGAGGCUCAUGCGGGAUGUGGGUGGAUUCUUUUGCAAUGCAAAUAAUCUCUAUAAUGCUGAAAACGUGCAUGAGCUGCGCAAGCUAGUUCCAGUCCAAUUCAGCUGCUAACACGAAUAUAGCUUACUCCACUUUUUUUCUCAAAAAUCUCAACUUGAAUCACAAAUGUAACAACACUAGCUCAUUGUAACAUAGAUCUUGUCGGAAGAGAUAUAGUGUUAUAUUUUUGGAUUGUAAAUUUACGAUUCAGUACAUUAUUUAUAUAGCAAUAAAAUCAAGAAAACGUAUUCUUGUCA